This 73-nucleotide transfer RNA is filed under the name Rhodococcus ruber. Its description in RNAcentral is "tRNA-Phe". It matches the Rfam family "tRNA". From Rfam's summary of the family: Transfer RNA (tRNA) molecules are approximately 80 nucleotides in length. Their secondary structure includes four short double-helical elements and three loops (D, anti-codon, and T loops). The record is from RNAcentral. Lineage: Bacteria; Bacillati; Actinomycetota; Actinomycetes; Mycobacteriales; Nocardiaceae.
GGGCCUGUAGCUCAGUUGGUAGAGCAUCUGACUGAAACUCAGCGGGUCGCGGGUUCAAGUCCCGCCAGGUCUG